AUUUAUAUAAUAUAAAAAUUAUAUUUGACUUCCAAUCAAAAAAUCUAAAUAUAUUUAGUAUAAAUA
RNAcentral lists this transfer RNA (66 nucleotides) under Languriidae sp. KM-2017. RNAcentral's name for it is "tRNA-Gly". The record is from RNAcentral. Lineage: Eukaryota; Metazoa; Arthropoda; Insecta; Coleoptera; Erotylidae.